UUCAGCCCUCCUUGCCGGAGUUUGUCCUACCUGCCACCCACAGUUCCAAACUGGACCAAACAGCGAAAGUGGUUGGCCGAUAAAGUGGCGGACUUCAGAGGGUUGUUUUAAAGUUUCUGUUUUAUCGGCUGAUUGCAUAGAUGUCGUUGUGCAUCCUGUCCCUUUUUUCCAAAUCAAUUAAAAUUAGCAGAAUUACUCUGCGUUGCUUGGAUAUCCUUAAAUGUUUGAAAAGGUUCAAAGUGUUGUUCUUUCAAUCUUUUCUCCUUUUUCUUUUAAUUAUCAACUAUUGCGAUUUCCCGAUUAUUUAGUUCCUAAAAUCACCGUUCCAAAACAUAGAGUGCGCAAUAGACCAGGAGACAAAAAUGAAGAUUUUAGAAACAUCGGUAUUUCAGACCGUGAGAUUAUAGAAAAAAAGAAUGGAGUUUGAUAACUAAACCCACAUCCGGUAUACCAGAAUUCACGACCUGUUUUACAAGCAGCUGAUAAUGCCAGCAGAUACUGGUGAUAAGGAACCGGUGGAAUUAAUUCUACAUCAGAGGAAAAUGAAUAUUAUUUAUGACAUUAUUGGUUGAAGUGCACCUGUAUUUACGUCAUAGAUAUAAAUGAAGGAAUUCAGGAUGCAGUUAAUACAAGAUUACACAAGCGUUCCUUUGACGCUGAUUAACAGAUGAAACGAUAGUUCUUGGAUGAUAUUCAAUCUGUGAAUUAAUCACUCAAGUUAAACGAGGUAGUAUUGUUCGAUGACAAUAAAUGGAACAAAUGAAAUAAAUGUCACGAUAUCUUCUGACGAUAAUUAUACGGAUAUUUCUAUUGUUUGUGAACAUCGAUCACAUUAAUACGAGAAAAUUACAGAUGCGUCUUUUGUUCAAAUAACAAACAUAAAACCGUUGCAAAUAAAUUGCAAGGACAUCUUUAAAUAGCUAACAAAAUUAUUGCAUAAGCUGUUAUAUGUUUAUUUACAAACACGUUCAAUGCGACGAAAAGUUGCUUAAUCGAAGCUUUAUUAAAGUUUGAGGUUUGUUUUUGUUUUUCUGAUAAAAGAUCACGUGUGUUAACUGACAAAAAAAAGCGAUAAUUCUGUUAUCUGUAAUUCUAUUGUAAUCUAUAUUCAAACAUUUUUUUAUCUUUAAAUUAAUUACUCAUUAUAUAUUUAAGUUGCAAUUAAUAUAAUUGCUUUUCAAAUCACAGAGCCAAAUCUGUAUUAUUUUCAAUAGUUACUUCUUAUUUUACUUUUAAAUAAAAUAUACCCAGGUUAGAUUUAAAGAGGGAGUUAGGAUAAGUAGUUUUAUUUGAACGUGUUUCGUGAAGAAAUUGAUCCUUGAAAAUAAAGCUGACAAUGUGAGAUCAUUGACGUAUAUAGACAUACGUGCUUUGAUCUGUCGUUGUACAUAUAUGAGCUGGUGACUCCAAUGACCCAUAUUUAGAGAAACUACACGGUUAAAUUAUAAUUUUAAAUUAAAGCUGCUCAACGAUCCACUCACAGAGCUCCUAAAAAGUGAGAGUAACCAUUUUUGCAAAAUAUUCCGUUCAAUUCAAUAUAGAGCUUACCUUGUAAAGGAACAUAUCUAUUCUUAACCCACUACUGUGACUCACUUUCGUUUAUUAUUUCUCUGCCUCCGUAUGUUCUACAAAUGGCUCAUAGUUGUUACUCAAUUACACCUUCUUUCAGUAACUUAACACGUUAUUUAUGUCAGAAUAAAGAAACAGAAGAAAAAAACUGGAUCUAAAUGUCACACUUUUAAUUCAUGACCGAGUUCUACUCUUUAUUGAUCGCUCUUUAUAUCGACCAUUAAACAUUAUUUUCCGUCAGAACUUGUUAUUAUUCAAAAAUGAAUGUAUAUUUUAAGAAGAAAAAAAAAACAGGUCGUAAUUUUGCUAUAACUUUAUGAUAACAGAAUAAUUGUUCAGGGAUGUUUUUGGGAUUGGCACAUAAAACAGUAGAUCUCGAGUUAAAGCAAAUAUCGAGUUUAUUUGUCGAUUUGCGUAGUCAUAAAAUAUAUCGAUCGAUAUCAAUAACACUGACAAAUCUCCGUAGUGAUCGCAGAAUAAUAACUGGGAUGUGAAAUCGGAUGUAAAUUCGUAAUUCGUAGAUACCUGAAGCGCGCGCAAUAUUGUAUGCCUCGGUUGGAAAAUAAUUUUCCAAGAGAAAAUAAAUGCAAAACAGUUGUAUACAUUCUCGAAUGAAAUUAAAAAAACAAAAAGAAAAGAAAAACCGUAUACGAUUAUUUAACGUUCGUACAAAAAAAAAUAGUCGAUAUUCACCGUUACAUGGCUAUCGUUAUCCACCGAAUCGAAUCAAUACCACAA
Molecule: long non-coding RNA, 2307 nt
Organism: Osmia bicornis bicornis
Lineage: Eukaryota; Metazoa; Arthropoda; Insecta; Hymenoptera; Megachilidae
Exons: 2
Source: RefSeq, a predicted model, not a curated record